Molecule: transfer RNA, 43 nt
Filed under: Passiflora misera
Lineage: Eukaryota; Viridiplantae; Streptophyta; Magnoliopsida; Malpighiales; Passifloraceae
Description: partial tRNA-Gly
Source: RNAcentral
GGCGGAUGUAGCCAAGUGGAUAAAGGCAGUGGAUUUGUGAAUC